This 420-nucleotide ribosomal RNA is filed under the name uncultured bacterium. Its description in RNAcentral is "bacterial SSU rRNA". It matches the Rfam family "Bacterial small subunit ribosomal RNA", at positions 28 to 418 of the family's 1533-position model. The record is from RNAcentral.
GAUGAACGCUAGCUACAGGCUUUAACACAUGCAAGUCGAACGGAGUUAAACGCUGAUUUGAAGAUAGCUUGCUAUAAGAUUUUCUUGUUUAACUUAGUGGCGGACGGGUGAGUAACGCGUGAGCAACCUGCCUUACAGAGGGGACAACAGUUGGAAACGACUGCUAAUACCGCAUAAUGUGGAGAGAGGACAUCCUCUUUUCACCAAAGGAGCAAUCCGCUGUAAGAUGGGCUCGCGUCCGAUUAGCCAGUUGGCGGGGUAACGGCCCACCAAAGCGACGAUCGGUAGCCGGACUGAGAGGUUGAACGGCCACAUUGGGACUGAGACACGGCCCAGACUCCUACGGGAGGCAGCAGUGGGGGAUAUUGCACAAUGGAGGAAACUCUGAUGCAGCAACGCCGCGUGAGGGAAGAAGGUUUU